Molecule: ribosomal RNA, 110 nt
Filed under: Acanthosepion pharaonis
Lineage: Eukaryota; Metazoa; Mollusca; Cephalopoda; Sepiida; Sepiidae
Source: RNAcentral
AGGCAUAUCACGUUGAAGCACCGGUUCUCGUACGAUAACCGAAGUUAAGCAACAUCGACUCUGGUCAGUACCUAGAUGGGUGACCACUUGGGAAAAUAUAGUGCCGUAAU